UACAUAGGGUGCAAGCGUUGUCCGGAAUUAUUGGGCUUAAAGGGUGCGUAGGCGGCGAUUCAAGUCAGAUGUGAAAUGCCUGAGCUCAACUGAGGCAUUGCGUUUGAAACUGAAUUGCUAGAGUAUCCUAGGGGUGUGCGGAACUGCCAGUGGAACGGUGAAAUGUGUUGAUAUUGGCAGGAACACCGGAGGCGAAAGCGGCACACUGGGGGAUAACUGACGCUGAGGCACGAAAGCCAAGGGAGCGAACGGGAUUAGAUACCCCGGUAGUCUUGGCCGUAAACGAUGAGUACUGGGCGGGAGGGGGUUUCCCCUUUCUGCCGUAGCGAAAGCGUUAAGUACUCCGCCUGGGGAGUAUGGUCGCAAGGCUG
This 371-nucleotide ribosomal RNA is filed under the name uncultured prokaryote. RNAcentral's name for it is "bacterial SSU rRNA". It matches the Rfam family "Bacterial small subunit ribosomal RNA", at positions 524 to 896 of the family's 1533-position model. The record is from RNAcentral.